GCGGGGGUAUCCGAGCCAGUUCAAAGGAGCAGGAUUCAGAUUCCUGUCGUGUAGACGUUCGGGAGUUAAAAUCUCCCCUCCCGCA
RNAcentral lists this transfer RNA (85 nucleotides) under Candidatus Heimdallarchaeota archaeon LC_3. Its description in RNAcentral is "tRNA-Leu". It matches the Rfam family "tRNA". Rfam says of the family: Transfer RNA (tRNA) molecules are approximately 80 nucleotides in length. Their secondary structure includes four short double-helical elements and three loops (D, anti-codon, and T loops). Further hydrogen bonds mediate the characteristic L-shaped molecular structure. tRNAs have two regions of fundamental functional importance: the anti-codon, which is responsible for specific mRNA codon recognition, and the 3' end, to which the tRNAs corresponding amino acid is attached (by aminoacyl-tRNA synthetases). tRNAs cope with the degeneracy of the genetic code in two manners: having more than one tRNA (with a specific anti-codon) for a particular amino acid; and 'wobble' base-pairing, i.e. permitting non-standard base-pairing at the 3rd anti-codon position. Lineage: Archaea; Promethearchaeati; Candidatus Heimdallarchaeota. The record is from RNAcentral.